Molecule: ribosomal RNA, 497 nt
Filed under: uncultured bacterium
Lineage: Bacteria
Description: partial 16S ribosomal RNA
Rfam family: Bacterial small subunit ribosomal RNA
Source: RNAcentral
GACGAACGCUGGCGGCGUGCCUAAUACAUGCAAGUUGAGCGCUGAAGGUUGGUACUUGUACCAACUGGAUGAGCAGCGAACGGGUGCGUAACGCGUGGGGAAUCUGCCUUUGAGCGGGGGACAACAUUUGGAAACGAAUGCUAAUACCGCAUAAAAACUUUAAACACAAGUUUUAAGUUUGAAAGAUGCAAUUGCAUCACUCAAAGAUGAUCCCGCGUUGUAUUAGCUAGUUGGUGAGGUAAAGGCUCACCAAGGCGAUGAUACAUAGCCGACCUGAGAGGGUGAUCGGCCACAUUGGGACUGAGACACGGCCCAAACUCCUACGGGAGGCAGCAGUAGGGAAUCUUCGGCAAUAGACGAAAGUCUGACCGAGCAACGCCGCGUGAGUGAAGAAGGUUUUCGGAUCGUAAAACUCGGUUGGUAGAGAAGAACGUUGGUGAGAGUGGAAAGCUCAUCAAGUGACGGUAACUACCCAGAAAGGGACGGCUAACUACGUG